This 251-nucleotide ribosomal RNA is filed under the name uncultured bacterium. RNAcentral describes it as "partial 16S ribosomal RNA". It matches the Rfam family "Bacterial small subunit ribosomal RNA", at positions 334 to 602 of the family's 1533-position model. The record is from RNAcentral.
UUGCUCCACGGGGCGCAGCAGUGGGGAAUAUUGCACAAUGGGGGAAACCCUGAUGCAGCGACGCCGCGUGAGUGAAGAAGUAUUUCGGUAUGUAAAGCUCUAUCAGCAGGGAAGAUAAUGACGGUACCUGACUAAGAAGCCCCAGCUAACUACGUGCCAGCAGCCGCGGCAAUACGUAGGGGGCAAGCGUUAUCCGGAUUUACUGGGUGUAAAGGGUGCGUAGGUGGCAGGGCAAGUCAGAUGUGAAAGCC